RNAcentral lists this ribosomal RNA (253 nucleotides) under uncultured bacterium. RNAcentral's name for it is "partial 16S ribosomal RNA". It matches the Rfam family "Bacterial small subunit ribosomal RNA", at positions 524 to 776 of the family's 1533-position model. The record is from RNAcentral.
UACGUAGGGGGCGAGCGUUGUUCGGAGUUACUGGGCGUAAAGGGUGUGUAGGCGGUUGUUUAAGUUUGGUGUGAAAUCUCCCGGCUCAACUGGGAGGGUGCGCCGAAUACUGAGCGACUAGAGUGCGGGAGAGGAAAGUGGAAUUCCUGGUGUAGCGGUGAAAUGCGUAGAUAUCAGGAGGAACACCGGUGGUGUAGACGGCUUUCUGGACCGUAACUGACGCUGAGACACGAAAGCGUGGGUAGCAAACAGG